RNAcentral lists this ribosomal RNA (1428 nucleotides) under uncultured Bordetella sp. RNAcentral describes it as "partial 16S-23S ribosomal RNA intergenic spacer". It matches the Rfam family "Bacterial small subunit ribosomal RNA". The record is from RNAcentral. Lineage: Bacteria; Pseudomonadati; Pseudomonadota; Betaproteobacteria; Burkholderiales; Alcaligenaceae.
GUUAAACUAGAUUAUGGCUCAGAUUGAACGCUGGCGGGAUGCUACACAUGCAAGUCGAACGGCAGCACGGACUUCGGUCUGGUGGCGAGUGGCGAACGGGUGAUGUAUCGGGGACAAUGCCUAUUGAGAUAUGCGCGAAGGCGCCAAGCUAAAUACCCGCCGCGCUGAAAGCGGGGACCUUCGGGCCUCGCACUAUUAGAGCAGCCGAUAUGGUUAGCUGGUGGUGGGGUAACGGCUCACCGAGGCGACGUCCGUAGCUGGUUUGAGAGGACGACCAGCCACACUGGGAUUGCAGACACAGCCCAGACUCCUACGAGGGGCGGCAGUAGGGGGUACGGACAAUGGAAACCUGAUCAGCCAUCCCGCGUGUGCGAUGAAGGCCUUCGGGUUGUAAAGCACUUUUGUGGAAGAAACGGCGGGAUAAUACCCCGUGCAACUGACAAUACCUGCAGGAGAUAAAGCACAAACGCUACGUGCCGCUGACCGCGGUAAUACGUAGGGUGCAAGCGUUAAUCAGGUUACUGGGCCGUAAAGCGUGCGCAGAGCGGUUCGGAAGAAGAUGUAGAAAUCCCAGGCUUUGGAACUGCAUUUUUAACUACCGAGCUGAGUGUGUCGGGGGAAGUGCAAAUUCCGCGUGUAGCAGUGAAAUGCUACGUGAAUAUGCGGAGGAACACCGAUGGCGAAGCAGCUAUGGAAAUAACACUGACGCUCAUGCACGAAAGCGUGGGGGCGUAGGAUUGGUCACUGGUAGUCCACGCCUAAACGAUGUCAACUAGCUGUUGGGGCCUUCGGGCCUUGGUAGCGCAGCUAACGCGUGAAGUUGACCUUAGGAAAUUACGGUCGCAAGAUUAAAACUCAAAAGGAAUUGGCAGGACCACACAAGCGGUGGAUGAUGUGGAUUAAUUCGACUACAACGCGAAAAACGCCCUACCCUUGACAUGUCCGGAAUCCAGAAGAGAUUUGGGAGUGCUCGCAAGAGAACCGGAACACAGGUGCAUGGCUGUCGUCAGCUCGUGUCGUGAGAUGUUGGGUUAAGUCCGCAACGAGCGCAUGUCAUUAGUUACGAAAGGGCACUCUAAUGAGACUGCCGGUGACAAACCGGAGGAAGGUGGGGAUGACGUCAAGUCCUCAUGGCCCUUAUGGGUAGGGCUUCACACGUCAUACAAUGGUCGGGACAGAGGGUCGCCAACGCGAGGGGGAGCCAAUCCCGAAACCCGAUCGUAGUCCGGAUCGCGGUCUGCAACUCGACUGCGUGAAGUCGGAAUCGCUAGUAAUCGCGGAUCAGCAUGUCGCGAGUGAAUACGUUCCCGGGUCUUGUACACACCGCCCGUCACACCAUGGGAGUGGGUUUUACCGAAGUAGUUAGCCUAGCCGUAAGGAGGGCGAUUACUGAUGAUUCAUGACUGGGGUGAAGUCGUAACAAGGUAG